CGAACGGUAGCAAGGAAGUGCUUGCACUUUGCUGACGAGUGGCGGACGGGUGAGUAAUGCUUGGGAACUUGCCUUUGCGAGGGGGAUAACAGUUGGAAACGACUGCUAAUACCGCAUAAUGUCUACGGACCAAACGGGGCUUAGGCUUCGGCGCAGAGAGAGGCCCAAGUGAGAUUAGCUAGUUGGUGGGGUAAAGGCUCACCAAGGCGACGAUCUCUAGCUGUUCUGAGAGGAAGAUCAGCCACACUGGGACUGAGACACGGCCCAGACUCCUACGGGAGGCAGCAGUGGGGAAUAUUGCACAAUGGGGGGAACCCUGAUGCAGCCAUGCCGCGUGUGUGAAGAAGGCCUUCGGGUUGUAAAGCACUUUCAGUUGUGAGGAAAAGUGAGUAGUUAAUACCUGCUCACCGUGACGUUAACAACAGAAGAAGCACCGGCUAACUCCGUGCCAGCAGCCGCGGUAAUACGGAGGGUGCGAGCGUUAAUCGGAAUUACUGGGCGUAAAGCGCACGCAGGCGGUUUGUUAAGCUAGAUGUGAAAGCCCCGAGCUCAACUUGGGAUGGUCAUUUAGAACUGGCAGACUAGAGUCUUGGAGAGGGGAGUGGAAUUCCAGGUGUAGCGGUGAAAUGCGUAGAUAUCUGGAGGAACAUCAGUGGCGAAGGCGACUCCCUGGCCAAAGACUGACGCUCAUGUGCGAAAGUGUGGGUAGCGAACAGGAUUAGAUACCCUGGUAGUCCACACCGUAAACGCUGUCUACUAGCUGUUUGUGGCUUUAAGCCGUGAGUAGCGAAGCUAACGCGAUAAGUAGACCGCCUGGGGAGUACGGCCGCAAGGUUAAAACUCAAAUGAAUUGACGGGGGCCCGCACAAGCGGUGGAGCAUGUGGUUUAAUUCGAUGCAACGCGAAGAACCUUACCUACACUUGACAUGCAGAGAACUU
RNAcentral lists this ribosomal RNA (939 nucleotides) under Alteromonas sp. Its description in RNAcentral is "bacterial SSU rRNA". It matches the Rfam family "Bacterial small subunit ribosomal RNA", at positions 63 to 998 of the family's 1533-position model. Lineage: Bacteria; Pseudomonadati; Pseudomonadota; Gammaproteobacteria; Alteromonadales; Alteromonadaceae. The record is from RNAcentral.